RNAcentral lists this ribosomal RNA (486 nucleotides) under Clinopodes carinthiacus. Its description in RNAcentral is "partial large subunit ribosomal RNA". It matches the Rfam family "Bacterial large subunit ribosomal RNA", at positions 1826 to 2600 of the family's 2925-position model. The record is from RNAcentral. Lineage: Eukaryota; Metazoa; Arthropoda; Chilopoda; Geophilomorpha; Geophilidae.
GGUUUGUUGAGAAAAAUAAUAAAUCUUACCUGCUCAAUGUAUAAAAUAAAUAGCCGCGGUAAUUUGACUGUGCAAAGGUAGCAUAAUCAUUAGUCUUUUAAUUGGGGGCUGGAAUGAAGGGUUUGACGGAGGGCAGCUUUUUAAAAAUUAUGUUGGUGAAUUUUAGUUUAUUGUGAAGAUGCACUAUAAUGAGGUUAUUUGACGAGAAGACCCUAUAAAGCUUUACAAAGGGAGGUUGGUGCUUUAUUUUGUUUUGUUGGGGCAACAUUUGUUAUAGAAAAAUAGUAUUGAGAGUGAAUAAUGUGUAUAGUCGUGAAGGGGAUCCAUAAUUUUUGAAAAGGAGAAAAGUUACUUUAGGGAUAACAGCGUAAUUAUUUUGGAGAGCUCAUAUUGGUAAAAUAGUUUGCGACCUCGAUGUUGAAUUAAGAAGUCCUUAUUUUCGCAGUAGAAAAAGAAGGGGGUCUGUUCGACCUUUAAAUUCUUACA